This is a long non-coding RNA of Venturia canescens, 782 nucleotides long. RefSeq lists it as uncharacterized. The record is from RefSeq and is a predicted model, not a curated record. The transcript has 2 exons. NCBI's taxonomy places the organism in Eukaryota, Metazoa, Arthropoda, Insecta, Hymenoptera, Ichneumonidae.
AAGUUGCACAUGUGUCAAGCAGCGGCGUAUAAAUAUAAGCGUGCACUAACGCCAAGGCUCAAAACGUUUCUCAUAUCAGUGAAAGACACUACUGUAUUACCUCGGAUCAUAAAAUCGUCGAAAAAAUAAGUUUCUCCAGUGAUCAAAGUAAAAGUAUAACAUCCGCUCAAAAUGUUGAAGUUUUACGUCACGGUGCUGUUGAUCGCAGUGGUGAUGAUUUGUCAAGUAAUGACGUUGGCGGAAAUCAAGCCCCGAACCAGCGACUCGGGCAAUGAUGGUUGCAACAACAACUGUAACGAUACGCCACGAAAAAUAUAGCGGCAAAUCUUCCAAGACAAUCAGCGGCUAAACUAUUCAUAUUUCAUCAGAGAGUCCAAUUAAUUAUCCAACAUUCGAAAGCAAAAUGGCUACCGGGAGGUUUAUACGAGGGUUGCAGGACGAUGAACACGAUCGAUUUAUGCACAUACGGUGAACGCCUUUGGGAUCAUUAAACUGCACCUUCAUCGCAAGAGUCUCAAUUCUAUUAAACGACUGAUUGCUAGCAACACGACUUGAAAUUGUCAUUAUUAUCAUUCUCAACACAUCAUAUUAAAAUGUAGAUCAGGCCAAAUUUUUCAUCCCUCGAUGAAAAGUUAAUUGCGUUUUUUUUCGUCAUUUUGUGUAUUUGACUAUUAAUUAUAAGAAGAGCUAUCAAUGAAAACAACUUGAUUUUCUGUUAAUUACUGAUUUUCCGUUAAUUUACCCACGCAAUGUUUCAAAAAAUAAAUUCAGCUGCUCUCCCA